GCAAGAACCAGCACGGCAAGAGUAAGGAAGAUCGAUUCCGGCUUCCUCCGCCGCGUCGAGGACGUAAACGUCGUCGUCGCACUCAACCUCUUGCUCUCCUUCCGGUGUGAUAAAUUUGACCUUGUAUGUAGCCAUGGCUGUGACGCGUCCGCCGCGUGAGGUGGCUGAUUUGAGACCGAAGAGGGAUUGAGUGUUGCCUGAUGGGAGGGAACGGAGGCUGAUCGGAGCUGUUUGACGGCGGAUGAAGGAUGUUCCGACGAUGGCGCUUGAGAGAGCUGUGGAAGCCAUUUUUUCUGUGUUUUAGAUUUUUAGAUGAUUUGAGAGAUUUUUGGGUUUCUUCUCUCUGUGUUAUGGCUUGUGGAAAUGGCGUGGAGAGUGUGAAGGAGAAGAGAGAGGAUUAAAAAGGUGGGAUUGUUGUGGAAUCCUAUCUUCCACGUGGCGUUUAUCGUGUGGAUCGUUAGAUUAUCGUCUCUCUUUUUUUUUUGGUGAUUUUGUGUUUUCUAUUUGUGUGUGUAUGAGUGAUUGUGUUCGACACACUUUGCACUAUCUUAUUGUGGUGAGUUAUUCGUGGUCUCACUUGGUACAGCGCACAGAUUUAUUUCUACUUCUUGUUUGUAUCUAAAAUAAAUAACUCGUCAUAUGUUUUCUUUAAAUUGUUAGAAAAUGUCAACCAAGUGAUAUUUUUUAUUUCUAAGAUGAAAAUGUAUGAAUUACAAGAUUUGAGAUAAUGGAAAAAAGACCAAAUUAGAAAUUAAGUUUCUGAACCAACAAUAUCUCUGAAUCCUAAAUUAAAUAGAGCAGAUUCCACUUUACCAAAAGGGGGGAGAUUAAACAAAAAAAAAAAGAAGAAGAAGAAUGAAAACAAAAAGAACUCCCCCAAGCAAAAAAAAAAAAAAAGAUAUCAAGAAGAAUAUGAUAUAAGUUGGAUUUUGAAUCACCCAUACAACCUUCUCCUCCACAAUGAUUCCCCACUUUCCCUUGUUUAUAAAUCUAAACCCGUAAGAGGCUUUCUCUCUAACAGACUUAACUGCCUCUACGAUCCAACUUUACCGCUUUUUUUUUUUGGUUUGGUAAUUUUCUCUCUAGUCGCACUUGAUGUUUCUGUAGAUCCUUCUAACAAACAGAUUUGAUCCUAAGAACCCAACAGCUCCUGCACAAUUUUUCCAAUUACCAAAACAAUCUUCAGAAAAUACCAAAUCUUGUAGUGAGGCGAGAGAGUGAAACAAGAAAAGAAAAAAAACUAACCACAAAGGAUUCCGAGGCCGAGACAGAACAUCAAGGUGUAUCCAAAGUAGAAGCUGGUCUGGAAAAACCCAAACAUCUUGGUCUUUACGUAGUAGUAAUAGAUCGAGUAUAAGUAGACAUAAACAGCGGUCGAAGCAGCAGAGAAGAACGAUGUCCAUUGCCAGUGAUAGUUCUCCGCAUUCAACAAGAAAUACGUCCCCACGAUCGUCACACAAACGGUCACCACAACAAGUAUCAAAAAUACAAGAAGCAUGAACCCGUAUACAUAGUAUACCUGUCAAUGAAACCCAACAUCAUCAAGAAAUGUCACGGUACUUUUUUACACACAAGUCUCGGAUUUGUAAAGAUAUUUUUGUUACCUUGUAAUUCCAGAACGAUGUGAAAACGAAGUACAUUUCAAUGAAGAUGCUGCCAAAGGGUAAGAGACCUCCCAUAAGAGAGACUACAGAUGGAGUCAAGUACCACUUUUUCUCAGGGAUUGGACGUGGGAUUGUCUUCACACGGCAUGGAUUGUUUGGAGCACCACUCCAGUUUCUACCGACGACUGUCCCGAGGAGAGCGAGAGGGAACGAAAUGAAACCCCAGAUUACGAAAACCACCACCAUUGUUCCGAAGGGAAUAGCCGCAAGAGAUCCGUAGAAUAUGGCGAUUGUGUUUAGGAGGAAUCCGAUCCCGAAGCACAAGAAUGGGAAGAGAGAAGCUGUGAGGAUCAUGCACUUGAUCCAAUGUUUACCUGAACAAACAAGCAUAAGAGAAUGAGUCUAGGGAAGGUAUAUUUAUUGGAGAGCUUGCUGCAUUCCAGAUAGGAGGAUAUAUAACGUACCCCCACUUCUUGAGUACAUUCCACCACUCACAUAACCAGAGAUAAAUGACGUCAGAGCGUAGCAAACAAUGAAAGUUGUAACAAUUGCGCCUCUCCUGAAUAGAGUUAAACCAGGAUAAGAGGUUUAAAUGGCUAGAAUGUUUUUAUUCAAACAAAAGACAAACUCUUAUUCCAUGGGAAAUAACAACAUGAGAAGUUGACUGAAACUUAGAAGAGUGUAAUACAUACCCAACAUAAAGUGUACCGAUGAUUGCCAUUAAUAUGACAAGAAGAACAAGUAAAGCCAACUGUGCACCUGUACCAACAACAGCCGAGAGAAGAACCAGACUACGUGGUGGUCGGAACACAUCUCCGUGUACGAGUUUCCAUCCAGAUUCUUCACUUACAUCCCGUUCCUGUGCUCAAUAAUACCAAUUGUCAGAAGUUGCUCCAAAUUCUUUGCACUUAAAAUGAAGGUAAAAUUGACAAGUUGACAUCAUAAUAGUAGUAGCAAGAGAACUUCUGAAGCCAUUCUAGAUAUGAGGUUGAGGACACAUUACCAGGCUCUCCAGGUCGUCGUCUUCCCGAGCAUAUUUCGCAUAAUCGUUUCUGAGAGUCCUCAUUAAUAUCAUUGAGACCAAACCAGUAAGGAAGAUAACCAUCAUGAACGAGUUAAAGAUGGAGAACCAAUGGAUCUGCAUGAUGAACAAAUUCCUUAAAAACCCUCCAAGAAAAAAAAUAUUUUGAGACAAGGUUGUAGCAGUUUAAUCAACGAGCAAGUAAAGGAGCAUUCAGAGUAAUAUGUAUCAAAUUAUGAAGCAAAUAUCAAUUAAGGUCUGAUAGCAGAAGGAUAAAACCAUAAGACAUGCUAUAAUUUACCUGGUGCUCGAAGAAUGGAUAGUCUAGAUAAACAUCAAAACGACGAGCAAAUGUGACAUUGGUUGGAAUCCAAUUCACAGAAUACGUCAAGUCCACCGUUCUCCCUGCUUCUAACGGCCUUGGGUUGUCUUGUGUAAGAUUUACAUGAAUAAUCUAUGCAAAGAAAAAAAAAAGAUCACGAGAAAGUUCAUUUGAGAUCUAUAAGACUGCUUAAUGGGAAAAAAAAAAAAACAACCAACCUGGUCUUUGUUGUAUUUGAUAAUAAUAUUCUUAUGAGUGUAAAGAACAUGCUUGCCGUUUUCACUAUUUUUACCAGGUGGCAGUUCGCCCACAAACCCUAUAACAACAAUGAGAUAGUUAAAAUUAUGUUCAGAACCGAAAUUGAAAAUUGGAUGUUUAAAGUGAAUAUAAGAAAUCACAUACCCCACAAAGGCAGAUCAUCUGAACUUGCAUCCACGUACGCCAUAAACAUCAUUUGUGACAAAAAGAAGCAAGACAAAAGAUUAGCAAGCAAAGGAUGCAAAAAAAAUUAGUUACAGUGAUGUACGAACAGUGAAUGUACUGUGAUAUUGUUUGUAGUAUUAGCUCAUUUUCAACAACUGUUACUGCUCAGCAAGGUUAAGUUCCGUUGAUAAGGCAUAGCGAUUUCCAAUUUCAAAAUAUAACAAGCAGCAACAUCUUUUACAAUCGAGGGAAUCAACUUUUCUGUGAGACUUUCUUCAUCAGUAAUGAGUACAAGUAAAUGAAAUACAUACCCAUAAAUAAUUCAAACCAGUAACUAUUCUCGAUGGCAUCUUUGAAAUGCUUGACCUUAGGUUCAUCAAGUUCCAAUUGACAGAUCACGCUUCUGUCAACAUUUUCUGGGAGUAAAACAGAAGAAGGCAAUAUAAAUAUUAUGCAAUCAAGAUAACAUUUUCGAAGAAAUACUAACAUAAGAAUUGACAUACUCAAGAAUUUUAUGUCUAUCUGGCUGUCGAUGAGCUCAUUUCCCCCAAGAACCUCACCAAGACCACCCCAUUUGUGAACGCUGUUCUCAGUUUUGCGGCAAAACGGGAGGCUGUAAUAGUUAUAUGUUUCUUGUGGAUUAUUAUAAGGGCCAACUUUGUUCACCCACAGAGUAACCUGCUCAUCAGCUUGAUACUGGAAAAGUAAAAUCAGAAGACCAAAUUUCAUGACUUGGAAGAAUUGAGAACAGAUGGAGAAACGUAAGGGAAUAAACCAAAACCCAGUGAGGAUGACAGAGUCAAUUAUAAAGCCUAGAGUGACCCUAGACACAUCGGCGCUCUUGUGGUGCAAUAUUUUGUUUGUUUAGACAAAUCGACAUAAAAUGCAGAUACAAAAAUAGGAAGACAUCAUCCUCUGGUAGAAAAGUGGAAACCAUUACAAAUCUUGUCGCUGCAACACUAUCAACUCCGCAAAAGUAUAGGGCUGUGAUUUAAGGAAGGGUACUUUUCUCUAGCUAGAUUACAAGAUUACUACUGUUAAUGCAUGAUCUGCUUUAUCAAAAAAUCACACCAAAGGGGAAAAAAAGUCGAAACAGCAGUCAAGGUUGAACUAAAUACUUAUUUUAAGAGUAAACGUCAUAAGAAAUCUCAAGGGGGGGAAUGGCAGCCUGAAGGCAACGUCUUGCAGCUCCAGAUCACUAAUUCUAAAAUAAAACAAGAAACCAGAACAAUUUUCUAUCCAAAACUGGCCAUAAUCAAAGGAAUACCUUAGAAACAUUUGACGCUUAUUGCUCACAGCCCUAAAAUCUAUCAAAACUAGAUAACAUACGUAAAACAUCAUCAUUAAAAAAGCUAGACCUAAUUGAAGGAGCAUAUUUCAGUUCCAAUGCUCUCUACUAAAAGUCGCAAAUUGAACAAUGAUCACACCACAGAUCAUCCACUGACAAUGAUCGUUACAAUCAUUAAGCAGUAACUGGACUCAGGACGACUCAAAUCACCCAAAAAAUAGAUACCAUAUCAAAACCUAACUCAUAAUGUCGCAAAAAAAUAAAUAAAUAAACCUACAACACAGUGGAGAAGCUACUUGCUCGAAUUGCAAGGAAAAUAUAAUCAGCUGGAUCAAGCCUCCAAUCCCGAAAAAUUAACAGAUCCGAGUCAAAAAAAAUGAAUACAUAACAACAUGCAACAGCGAGAUCUACGAGCAAAGAACUCGAAUCUAGCUACAGCUAAGAAAAGAAAACGGUAGCCACUAGAGAUUCUCUAACCUUGUGAUCUGACUCAGAGGCCAAAGCCGGAGAGAGAAGAAGGAAGACGCAAGCGACGACGGAGAAAAGAGAUUGGACGGUGGAGGAAGACGGCAUGUCGGAAUCCGGCGAAGAAUCAGAUCUGAGGGAGACGACAGAGACCGACGGUGAUUGAGAAGUGUUAGACCAAUGACUCGUCUCAGAGAUACGAUUCAGGUGGCAUAAAUGUUAUAUGAUGUUACAAAUUUAUGAGCUCUUUAAUUAUUUUCCUCGGAUGCGAGCGAUCGAAGCGAAAGCGUGACCAGAGAUUCUCAGCAUUAUCGUUUUCGUACAGUUAUAUGCACUCGCCUUACUAUAUUUUAUUGGGCCUUAGAAACAAAAAAGCCCAGUAUCAUAAUUUUAUUAGUCGAUUUUAAAAAAUUGGGUUAGACAAAUUACCUCAGAUUUUUUUGUUUUUACCGAAACACCAUAAUUUUUAGUAUUUACUAGGGGAAAAUCGCAUAAAAAACCUUAAAAACGAUACUUACUGACAUUUUAAACCUUAAGAAUAUUUCACUCACACUUUAAACCUUUAAAUUAAAUUUAUUCAAACAAAAAACAUUGAAAUUGGAUAUUUAGUAUGCACCAUCAAAACAUUUAACGGAUUUGUUCAUUUUCCGUUAUAAAUAAUGAUGUAGUAUUAUUUUUUUUUCUACUGAUAAAAUUAAUUUUUAAUAAUUAUCUUAUUAUUUUGUUAGUUAAAAAAAUCACAUAAUCCAUAUCAUUGUGUGUGCUAGUUUGAUAAUUUCAUCGAAUCAUUGGCAAUAUAGACCACACAAGCUAAGAAGACUCAUAUGAGAAUAAAGAUUCUGUAAGUGCAAACCUCAGCCAAAAGAUGGUUGCUAUCUAGGAUGAUUGGUGCUGGCAAUGAGGUUGAUUUCAGUAGAAAAACAACUGCUAUAUGGAAGCAGAUAAAUAGAAUUUGCAGCUCCCACAAAAAAAAAAUAUAAUGAAAUUUCUAUAAAAUAACAAAGCAAUAAAAUGAUGAAUACAGAAAAUAGAAGAAAAUGAAAUGAUGAAUGCAAACAGAUAACAAUCAACAAGGAGGUGAUGAAUACAAAAUAGCAGACAAGAAUAAAAUGAAAUGAUGAAUGCAAACAGAUAACAAUCAACAAGGAAGUGAUGAAUACAAAAUAACAGACAACAAGAGCCAUAGUUAUCAUAGACUCACCUUUCAUCAACAAGAGCCAUACCCAAUUCCUUUGAUAAUUACUAAUUAUCCCAAAACUUAUAAUAUUUUAUAAAUGUAUUGUUGAUAUACGAUAUCACACAAGAGAUCAGAAAUUUAGAUUUUAUUACAUCGGAUAAAAUAUAAUUGAGUUCGUUUAUUGAAGUGAUAAACGAACUAAGACCUAAGAAACUAAAAAGAUAGCAAAUAUCUUCAAUUCUCAGUUUCUAAUUCUUUUGGAAUUUUCUUGUAUCUUUUGGUGUCGAUUCCUCUUACAUGCUCUAAGUCGGUCUUCACGGGACAUCUCCUCGAUAAAGGACCGAGAAGACUUUCUUUUCUCUCGAAAGUUUUCAUUUUCCAUUCGGAAACAUUCUUUUUUCAUCCGAACUCGGGAUCCUUCUCGAUUCCUUUGAGAAGUUGCGACCGACUUUGGCAUAACAGGUCAUGUUCGGUCCAGGAGCUCGCCUGGCCCAAUCUUCCCGGUACAAUUUCUUCGUAAACCGGGCUUAAUCCAUGCUGAUCUCGGUUGUACCGGAGAAAACCGGAAGUGCGGUUUUCACCUCCAACAGUUAGCCCUCCCCCCUCCCCCCUCAGUUCGGCGAAAGUGGGUUGUUUUUUGUCGAACUCAUUCGAGUUAAUUUUAAAAAUUGGGUCACAAACCGAGCUCGGAAAAAUUCUGUCGAUUCGUUUUCCUGGGCGUUUCAAAAUCCGAAUUUAAUGUGGCGCAUGAAUUCCGAGAUUUCGCAGAAAUCGAGGAACCGCGAUUCCCACUGUUUAUUUAUAAUGUGAAACCUACCUCGCAUUCAUUAUUCUUGUAUCUGCAUAUAUAAGGUACGCAGCUCUC
This 7165-nucleotide long non-coding RNA is filed under the name Eutrema salsugineum. RNAcentral's name for it is "long non-coding RNA (ESAL_LNC000187)". Lineage: Eukaryota; Viridiplantae; Streptophyta; Magnoliopsida; Brassicales; Brassicaceae. The record is from RNAcentral.